GAUGAACGCUGGCGGCGUGCCUAAUACAUGCAAGUCGAGCGAACAGACGAGGAGCUUGCUCCUCUGACGUUAGCGGCGGACGGGUGAGUAACACGUGGAUAACCUACCUAUAAGACUGGGAUAACUUCGGGAAACCGGAGCUAAUACCGGAUAAUAUAUUGAACCGCAUGGUUCAAUAGUGAAAGACGGUUUUGCUGUCACUUAUAGAUGGAUCCGCGCCGCAUUAACUAGUUGGUAAGGUAACGGCUUACCAAGGCAACGAUGCGUAGCCGACCUGAGAGGGUGAUCGGCCACACUGGAACUGAGACACGGUCCAGACUCCUACGGGAGGCAGCAGUAGGGAAUCUUCCGCAAUGGGCGAAAGCCUGACGGAGCAACGCCGCGUGAGUGAUGAAGGUCUUCGGAUCGUAAAACUCUGUUAUUAGGGAAGAACAAAUGUGUAAGUAACUAUGCACGUCUUGACGGUACCUAAUCAGAAAGUCACGGCUAACUACGUG
RNAcentral lists this ribosomal RNA (497 nucleotides) under uncultured bacterium. Its description in RNAcentral is "partial 16S ribosomal RNA". It matches the Rfam family "Bacterial small subunit ribosomal RNA", at positions 28 to 507 of the family's 1533-position model. The record is from RNAcentral.